RNAcentral lists this ribosomal RNA (465 nucleotides) under uncultured bacterium. Its description in RNAcentral is "bacterial SSU rRNA". It matches the Rfam family "Bacterial small subunit ribosomal RNA", at positions 338 to 795 of the family's 1533-position model. The record is from RNAcentral.
CCUANGGGUGGCAGCAGUGGGGAAUUUUGGACAAUGGGCGAAAGCCUGAUCCAGCAAUGCCGCGUGCAGGAUGAAGGCCUUAGGGUUGUAAACUGCUUUUGUACGGAACGAAACGGUCUCUCUUAAUACGGGGGGCUAAUGACGGUACCGUAAGAAUAAGCACCGGCUAACUACGUGCCAGCAGCCGCGGUAAUACGUAGGGUGCGAGCGUUAAUCGGAAUUACUGGGCGUAAAGCGUGCGCAGGCGGUUAUAUAAGACAGAUGUGAAAUCCCCGGGCUCAACCUGGGACCUGCAUUUGUGACUGUAUAGCUAGAGUACGGUAGAGGGGGAUGGAAUUUCGCAUGUAGGGGUAAAAUCCGUAGAGAUGCGAAGGAACACCAGAGGCGAAGGCAAUCCCCUGGACCUGUACUGACGCUCAUGCACGAAAGCGUGGGGAGCAAACAGGAUUAGAUACCCGANUANUC